GACGAACGCUGGCGGCGUGCUUAACACAUGCAAGUCGAACGGAAAGGCCCUGCUUUUGUGGGGUGCUCGAGUGGCGAACGGGUGAGUAACACGUGAGUAACCUGCCCUUGACUUUGGGAUAACUUCAGGAAACUGGGGCUAAUACCGGAUAGGAGCUCCUGCUGCAUGGUGGGGGUUGGAAAGUUUCGGCGGUUGGGGAUGGACUCGAGGCUUAUCAGCUUGUUGGUGGGGUAGUGGCUUACCAAGGCUUUGACGGGUAGCCGGCCUGAGAGGGUGACCGGCCACAUUGGGACUGAGAUACGGCCAAGACUCCUACGGGAGGCAGCAGUGGGGAAUAUUGCACAAUGGGCGGAAGCCUGAUGCAGCAACGCCGCGUGCGGGAUGACGGCCUUCGGGUUGUAAACCGCUUUCGCCUGUGACGAGGCGUGAGUGACGGUAAUGGGUAAAGAAGCACCGGCUAACUACGUG
Molecule: ribosomal RNA, 468 nt
Filed under: uncultured bacterium
Lineage: Bacteria
Description: partial 16S ribosomal RNA
Rfam family: Bacterial small subunit ribosomal RNA
Source: RNAcentral